This 1768-nucleotide long non-coding RNA is filed under the name Medicago truncatula (barrel medic). Its description in RNAcentral is "long non-coding RNA (MTRU_LNC005913)". Lineage: Eukaryota; Viridiplantae; Streptophyta; Magnoliopsida; Fabales; Fabaceae. The record is from RNAcentral.
GCAACCAUAAUUGAACAUUUCUUUUGGAAUUUUUAUAUUUUUCUUUAAAUGUUUAAAUAUGCAAAUCAUCUUUGCAAAUAACAAGAGUUUUGAUUUUAGACAUGUAAAACUUUUUUUUAAUCCCUACAAAUAUAUGUUUUUUUGCUUUUAAUCUAUGUUAUGUUUUAGUCAUUGCAAAAUUGAUUCAUAUAAUAAUUAUCUUAUUUAAUAAUGAUUUUCACUAUUCAGGUAAAUUUUUUUAGAGUAAAUUACACUCAUCCCCUCUCAAAGAUGCUUGAAUUACACUCUCCUCCUCUCUUAUGCUAAAAUAUACAAUCUCCUCCCUUGAAAAGUAAAAUUUAUACUCUCAUCCUUUAUAAGAUGCUUAAAUUACAACUCUCUCUUAAUAAUUAAAUAUGCACUACACUACACCAUUUAGGACCGGAGGGAGCAUAUCAUGGUUACCAAAAACUUUAUAGAAAUGAUAUUUGCCAAACCUGUAGAAUGGAAAAGGUUGAUUUGAAAAAUGUAAUUCUACUUGUGCUAUGCGAGUAGUUGUUUAGCAAAAUCCCUCGAUUUUAUACUCCUACAAAUACGUGAGUAGUUAAAUUUUGAAUUGACAUAUAAUGCUAAAAGAUAAGGUAAUAACAAAUAAUUUAAGCAAUUAUAAAAAAUUAGGUUUUAAAGAUAAAAUAUAACAAAAACCAUUAAAAAAAAAGAAAAAGAUAUAAUAUAUGUAGUUUGUUGAGACAAUUAUGUUACAUAAAAAAAAAAAAAAAAAAUACUAAAAAUUAAAAAAAUAAUAAAAAAUAAUAAAUUUAUUGAAAUAAACUAUGAUAAAGUAAAACAAAACAACAUUAAAAAAUGGAAAUAAAAUAAAAGGAACCUAGAUUUUUUUUUUGAAGGAACCUGGAUUUAUAGUUAAAAUUUAAAUUGGAAUAAGAUGCUAAAAGAUAAAUAAAAGAAGUAACGGAUAAUUUAAGCAAUUUUAAAAGUUAGGUUUUAGAAAAUAAGAUAUAACAAAAACAAAACAAAAAUAUAUAAAAUAUAUUUAGUUUGUUGAGAUAUUUAUGCUACAUAAAUAAAAAAUAAUGAAUAAAAUAUAUGUAAGAGAAAUAAUAGAAUUGGUGUUUGGCAAACCUGAAUAAGGAAAAAAGUUAGAUGAAAAGAAGGUUUGGGGUUUUCGUUUAUACUCAAAAAUAUGUUAAUAUGUGAUUAACAAAAAUUCCUUUAUUUAUAGUUAACAUUUACACUAGAAUAUGCUGCUAAUAACUAAUCGAAACCUUUUUUUUCUCAAAAAGAAAAACUAAUUCAAUGAUAUGGUUCUAAACAAUUAGUUAGCAACUAAUUGAAGCUUCUUUUCCUUAAAAAAAAAUAAAAAUCAAUUGGAGCCUUUUAAUUAUAAAAUAAAAUCAUAUAUGUAAACUUUGUUAAAAGUAUAAUAAGUAGUUUGUUGAGAUUAAAAACCUUACUUUAUAUCUAUAUAUAUAUAUAUAUAUUGAUUUCAAACUUUGAUUUUGUUCUCCUUCAUGGUCACAUCUAAGCAAUAACUUUCACCAAAAAUAAACCAUUUUAACCGUCAAUCAAUUAUCUCAAUUGAAAUGUGAAAUAAGUAGAAUUUAAAAAGAAAAUGUACUAACUUGUUUUGAUGAAUUGUAUAUUGUUACAGAAUUUGCCCAAUUUAGAGAUAAUUGACCUCAAUGGCUCCAAAAAGCUGAUAGAGUGUCCAAACGUGUCUGGUUCUCCGAAUCUAAAAGAAGUAAUACUUAGAGAAUGUGAAAGCAUGCCU